GAGGGUAUUAUGCUAACAGAAAUAAGUCCUUCAGAGAAAGACAAAUACCAUAUGAUUUCACUCAUAUGUGGAAUUUAAGAAACAAAACAGAUGAACAUGGGGAAGGGAAGAAAAAUAAAAAGAUGAAAUCAGAGAGAGAGGCAAACCAUAGGACUCUUAAUGACAGGGAACAAACUGAGGGCCGCUGGGGGCGGAAGGGGGUCAAGAGAUGGGGCAACUAAUUGAUGGGCAUUAAGGAGGGCACUUGAAGUAAUGUGCAGUGGAUGUUGCAUGCAACUGAUCAAUCACUGAACUCUACUGCUGAAAUUAAUAAUACAAUACUGUUGAUUAAAUUGAAUUUAAAUUUAAAAAUUUUAAGAUUCUCUCUCUCUCCCUCACCCCUUCCCUCCCUUCUUUCUCUCUCAAAUAAAUAAAUCUUUAAAAACUAUGGACAUAAUUACAGUUAUGUUCAAAAAAGUCAGCCUCUAGAUAAUAUAGAUCAUAAUUCUACUUAUAAAGCUAAACAAUAUUCACAAAAAGGUAAACUGUGAAGGGAAUGAUAAAUAUAAAAAUUUGCCUAGUGGUAAUACUCAAAGGGAAAUGAGGAGGUAAGGAUUUAGAGAGGAACUCACGAGAACGCCAAAGUUAACAGGAAGUAGUAAAGACAGAGGGUUUCAGAGUACUCAAAAUAGAAAAUUUUGGAUGGCUCAGUCAAUGGAGCAUGCGACUCUUGAUCUUGGGAUUGUGAGUGCGAGCCCCCCGUGUAGAGAUUACUUAAAAUCUUUUGUCUUACUUUUUUAAAAGAUUUUAUUUAUUUAUUCAUGACAGAGAGAGAGAGGCAGAGACACAGGCAGAGGGAGAAGCAGGCUCCACGCAGGGAGCCCGAUGUGGGACUCGAUCCCAGGACCCCAUCCCGGGACCCCAGGAUCAUGCCCUGGGCCAAAGGCAGGUGCCGAAUUGCUGAGCCACCCAGGGAUCCCCUUAUCUUACUUAAAGAGAAAAUCUUUUUUAAAAAAAAAAAAAAAUAUUUAAAGGAAAGAAAAUGA
This 1025-nucleotide long non-coding RNA is filed under the name Canis lupus familiaris (dog). Its description in RNAcentral is "lncRNA (ENSCAFG00040003724.1)". The record is from RNAcentral. Lineage: Eukaryota; Metazoa; Chordata; Mammalia; Carnivora; Canidae.